This 1155-nucleotide long non-coding RNA is filed under the name Chrysolophus pictus (golden pheasant). Its description in RNAcentral is "lncRNA (ENSCPIG00010010447.1)". The record is from RNAcentral. Lineage: Eukaryota; Metazoa; Chordata; Aves; Galliformes; Phasianidae.
GUGAUUCUAAUUUAGUUCUCUGGAGGAAAUAGCUGCUCUCCUUUGUCGUAUUAAUUCAGAAACUAAUUUAAAUUUCUGUAAGCAGGAUCAUCUGAAAAUGGUUUGGAAGUGUGCUGUUUUCCAUGACUGCUAACUGACAACUGUAUUAAUUUCACAGAAUUCAAUUCUGGGCAACACAAGUAACUUGCUGCUGCAGAGCCCUGCUCAACUCCCAUUGCCGCAGCAGCAGCUGAUGAAAAUGGAGAACAUCCAGGCCAAUAGUAAACCAGGUUUGCUGGGAGAGCCUCCAACAAUGCUGCUGCAGACCGUGCUGGGAAUAGGGGUGAUGCCAUCAGUGAGCUCAGGCAUGGGAACCCGUGGAGAAGCUCUCAAGUGUAAAUGACCUUUUAUUUCAUACCAAGUCAGUACAAAUGCUCAGCUUGAAGUGAAGCACCUUCCUUUCUCCCACACUGCCAAAAGCAAACUAUGUUUGAACUUUGUUACUUGACAGGAAGGUAGGCAUAGAGCCCCACAAUAAUGCAAGUCAUCUAGCUAUAGAAUUACACAGGUUAACAGAGUAUAUUGCUAUAUAGCUGUCUUCAGCCUGCUGAUCCAGCAGGUUAUGGCCAUUUGAACUUGAAAUGCUUUGCUUUGUUGCCUGGAUUUUCUCAUCUGUUUACUGAGGGAAGAAAGAGACUCUGUUGCAUUUGUUGAAUAUUUGCAGACGGUUGAAAAUUCUGCUUGUUCAGUUACUACAGGUUUAGCACAGGUGGAAUAUGCUUUUAUUCAAAAUCCUGGGGUUUGUUGUUCCAAAGAAGAUAAACCUGAGUAGCUGAAGGAGCACUGCAGAUAGUUGUUUUGCAUUCAGUUCAUUAAGCAGGGGAGCUUUAAUGUCCAAUCUGUGACAGAUACCAGCUCUGAAUGCCAAUUCCUGCACUAGUGAUGCCCUCAGUUUCUAUGAGGAAAGAUGAGUUGUGAUUAGAACAUUUUUCCUCACUGAGAGCCAUGUACUCUGCAGUUUCACAGGCAGCUUGAAUGAUGGCAGUAGCCAGGAGCAGGGAAAGGCCUUCUUCUUUUGGAAACAGAAAGAAACCCAUUCUGAAUGCCUGGAUUUUAAUUUUGGAGAAUGUGUUCAAGCUGUUCUAUUUGUGAAGGAUUUUACUAAUGCAAGUUGAA